AUACGUAGGGGGCAAGCGUUAUCCGGAAUGAUUGGGCGUAAAGAGUGCGUAGGCGGUUUUGUAAGCGUGGGGUGAAAGGCAAAGGCUUAACCAUUGUAAGCCCCGCGAACUGUGAGACUUGAGUGCAGGAGAGGGAAGCGGAAUUCCUAGUGUAGCGGUGAAAUGCGUAGAUAUUAGGAGGAACACCAGUGGCGAAGGCGGCUUCCUGGACUGUAACUGACGCUGAGGCACGAAAGCGUGGGGAGCGAACAGGAUUAGAUACCCUGGUAGUCCACGCCGUAAACGAUGAGCACUAGGUGUCGGGGUCGCAAGGCUUCGGUGCCGGAGUUAACGCAUUAAGUGCUCCGCCUGGGGAGUACGCACGCAAGUGUGAA
Molecule: ribosomal RNA, 374 nt
Filed under: uncultured bacterium
Lineage: Bacteria
Description: bacterial SSU rRNA
Rfam family: Bacterial small subunit ribosomal RNA
Source: RNAcentral